RNAcentral lists this ribosomal RNA (490 nucleotides) under uncultured bacterium. RNAcentral describes it as "partial 16S ribosomal RNA". It matches the Rfam family "Bacterial small subunit ribosomal RNA", at positions 30 to 507 of the family's 1533-position model. The record is from RNAcentral.
AUUGAACGCUGGCGGCAGGCCUAACACAUGCAAGUCGAACGGUAACAGGAAGCAGCUUGCUGCUUCGCUGACGAGUGGCGGACGGGUGAGUAAUGUCUGGGAAGCUGCCUGAUGGAGGGGGAUAACUACUGGAAACGGUAGCUAAUACCGCAUAAUGUCGCAAGACCAAAGAGGGGGACCUUCGGGCCUCUUGCCAUCGGAUGUGCCCAGAUGGGAUUAGCUUGUUGGUGGGGUAACGGCUCACCAAGGCGACGAUCCCUAGCUGGUCUGAGAGGAUGACCAGCCACACUGGAACUGAGACACGGUCCAGACUCCUACGGGAGGCAGCAGUGGGGAAUAUUGCACAAUGGGCGCAAGCCUGAUGCAGCCAUGCCGCGUGUAUGAAGAAGGCCUUCGGGUUGUAAAGUACUUUCAGCGGGGAGGAAGGGAGUAAAGUUAAUACCUUUGCUAAUUGACGUUACCCGCAGAAGAAGCACCGGCUAACUCCGUG